This 376-nucleotide ribosomal RNA is filed under the name uncultured bacterium. RNAcentral's name for it is "bacterial SSU rRNA". It matches the Rfam family "Bacterial small subunit ribosomal RNA", at positions 521 to 896 of the family's 1533-position model. The record is from RNAcentral.
UAAUACGUAGGUUGCAAGCGUUGUCCGGAUUUACUGGGUGUAAAGGGCGUGUAGGCGGAGAUGCAAGUUGGGAGUGAAAUCCAUGGGCUCAACCCAUGAACUGCUCUCAAAACUGUAUCCCUUGAGUAUCGGAGAGGCAAGCGGAAUUCCUAGUGUAGCGGUGAAAUGCGUAGAUAUUAGGAGGAACACCAGUGGCGAAGGCGGCUUGCUGGACGACAACUGACGCUGAGGCGCGAAAGCGUGGGGAGCAAACAGGAUUAGAUACCCUGGUAGUCCACGCUGUAAACGAUGAAUACUAGGUGUGGGAGGACUGACCCCUUCCGUGCCGCAGUUAACACAAUAAGUAUUCCACCUGGGGAGUACGACCGCAAGGUUG